GACGAACGCUGGCGGCGUGCCUAAUACAUGCAAGUAGGACGCAGUUGCGAACGGGUGAGUAACGCGUAGGUAACUACCUAUUAGAGGGGGAUAACUAUUGGAAACGCUAGCUAAUACCGCAUACUAGUAGAUGGACCUGCGUUGUAUUAGCUAGUAGGUAGGGUAAUGGCCUACCUAGGCAACGAUACAUAGCCGACCUGGGGGGGUGAUCGGGCACACCGGGACUGGGACCAGGCCCCAGACCCCACGGGGGGGAGCAGUAGGGAAACUUCGGCAAUGGGGGGAAACCUGACCGAGCAACGCCGGGGUAGUGAAGAAGGUUUUCGGGUCGUAAAGCUCUGUUGUGAAGGAAGCGGUACUUAACCAGAAAGCGACGGCUAACUACGUGCCAGCAGCCGCGGUAAUAC
RNAcentral lists this ribosomal RNA (407 nucleotides) under uncultured bacterium. RNAcentral describes it as "partial 16S ribosomal RNA". It matches the Rfam family "Bacterial small subunit ribosomal RNA", at positions 28 to 526 of the family's 1533-position model. The record is from RNAcentral.